RNAcentral lists this long non-coding RNA (622 nucleotides) under Pan paniscus (pygmy chimpanzee). Its description in RNAcentral is "lncRNA (ENSPPAG00000044976.1)". Lineage: Eukaryota; Metazoa; Chordata; Mammalia; Primates; Hominidae. The record is from RNAcentral.
AUAAUAACUAGUGAAUAAUCUUUGUUAUGUUUUAUCUCUUUUGUUAAAAUAUAUAUGUGACCUUCCUUCCUUCCUUCCUUUCUUCCUUCCUUCCUUUCUUCCUUCCUUCCUUCCUUCCUUCCUUCCUUCCUUCCUUCCUUCUUUCUGUCUUUCACUCAGGCUGGAAUACAGUAGUGUGAUCAUAAUUUAUUCAGCCUCGAACUUGUGGUCUCAAGCAAUCAUCCUGCCUCAGCCUUUGACUAACUGGGACUACAGAUGUGUACCACCAUACCAUGUGACAAUAUUGACAUGGUCCCUGUCACCAUCCACCUCGACUUCAUGUAUCUUCUGCUUCUACCCGUGUAACAAGUACAUGUCUCUCAAAACAGAAUUUUGGCUUUUCCAGAUUGGCAAAUACCUCUUAGUUAAAUGUGGCUUUCAAGUAUGUGUUUACUCCUUUAUGUUUCAAUUUUCCUUCAAUUUUGGCCUGGAGAGUGUCUCAACUAAGAAGCUAAAAAGGGAAAGAAAAGAAAAGCAAUUAUGUUUUUUUCCCCUGCGGCCUAUACAAACACAUACACACCAAGUGUGUUUAAUUUGCAACAAUAUUGAAUAUGUGAGGGAAAAGUCGAGAAAAGACCACUAG